RNAcentral lists this small RNA (27 nucleotides) under Bombyx mori (domestic silkworm). RNAcentral describes it as "ovarian small RNA-36767". Lineage: Eukaryota; Metazoa; Arthropoda; Insecta; Lepidoptera; Bombycidae. The record is from RNAcentral.
UUAGUUCUUAACCUAGGGUUGCGCCGC